AACGCACAUUGCGCCCCCUGGUAUUCCGGGGGGCAUGCCUGUCCGAGCGUCAUUGCAACCUUCAAGCGCGGCUUGUGUGUUGGGCCUCGUCCCCCGUGGACGGGCCUGAAAGGCAGUGGCGGCGCCCGACUUGGUGCCUGAGCGUAUGGGAGACCUUUCCGCUCAACAGGCCUGAAUCGGCGCUGGUCGUUAACCAAAAGUAUACCGGUUGACCUCGGAUCAGGUAGGGAUACCCGCUGAACUUAA
RNAcentral lists this unclassified non-coding RNA (246 nucleotides) under uncultured Onygenales. RNAcentral's name for it is "sequence contains 5.8S rRNA gene, ITS2, 28S rRNA gene". The stretch from base 1 to 52 matches the Rfam family "5.8S ribosomal RNA", at positions 103 to 154 of the family's 154-position model. Lineage: Eukaryota; Fungi; Ascomycota; Eurotiomycetes; Onygenales. The record is from RNAcentral.